Molecule: ribosomal RNA, 465 nt
Filed under: Triticum aestivum (bread wheat)
Lineage: Eukaryota; Viridiplantae; Streptophyta; Magnoliopsida; Poales; Poaceae
Description: partial small subunit ribosomal RNA
Source: RNAcentral
AUGAAUGAAGAUACUAUACAGUGGCAGUUUAUAGGUUUUUAUGGUCAUCCGUCUUGGAGUGAGCAUAACUUGUCUUGGGAUAAUAUUCGAAACUUACACAAUAAGGGUAAUCACCCCUGGGUGGUCUUAGGACAUUUUAAUGAAAUUUUGUUUUCAACGGAAAAGGAAGGCGGAAAUGCGAGACCUAAUGCUAUGAUGAGAGAUUUUUGUAAUUUUUUAGGGGAGUGCGGCCUCGAGGAAAUGGGAUGUAUUGGUGAGCCUUUCACCUGGAGGAGAGGUGAAACUAGGGAGAGACUUGACCAAGCGGUUUGCAAUGUGGAAUGGGCAAAUAAAUUCCCUCGGGCUGCGAACAUAAACAAGGAACCUGUUCACUCUGAUCAUCGUCCCCUUGUCCUGGAUACCAAAUAUUUUGAUGGCAAUAUUUUUAAUCGCCCAAUGGGACAAGUGAAACAAUUUGAAGCUUGA